UCAGCUUGCUUUUGAGAUGACGAGCGGCGGACGGGUGAGUAAUGCCUGGGAAUUUGCCCAUUUGUGGGGGAUAACAGUUGGAAACGACUGCUAAUACCGCAUACGCCCUACGGGGGAAAGCAGGGGACCUUCGGGCCUUGCGCUGAUGGAUAAGCCCAGGUGGGAUUAGCUAGUAGGUGAGGUAAAGGCUCACCUAGGCGACGAUCCCUAGCUGGUCUGAGAGGAUGAUCAGCCACACUGGGACUGAGACACGGCCCAGACUCCUACGGGAGGCAGCAGUGGGGAAUAUUGCACAAUGGGGGAAACCCUGAUGCAGCCAUGCCGCGUGUGUGAAGAAGGCCUUCGGGUUGUAAAGCACUUUCAGCGAGGAGGAAAGGGUGUAAGUUAAUACCUUACAUCUGUGACGUUACUCGCAGAAGAAGCACCGGCUAACUCCGUGCCAGCACCGACGGGUAAUGACG
This 461-nucleotide ribosomal RNA is filed under the name Shewanella algae. RNAcentral's name for it is "bacterial SSU rRNA". It matches the Rfam family "Bacterial small subunit ribosomal RNA", at positions 71 to 527 of the family's 1533-position model. Lineage: Bacteria; Pseudomonadati; Pseudomonadota; Gammaproteobacteria; Alteromonadales; Shewanellaceae. The record is from RNAcentral.